CUUCGCAAAAAUGACGGAGGACGCCCUUCAGAAAGGGGAUGCUCUCCAGAGCCUGGAUGGCACAGUGGCCCUGGAAAAUAAGAAGGGCCAAACCCUGGAUUUUGCCAACCUGUGGAUGCAAUCAGCAAAUGAGAGCGCUCCGUGGCAUGAAGUUAAUUGAUGCUUUCAUUUCCCUUAACGGGAUGAAAAUGAAGUAAGGAAGACAUAGAAAACAAGACAUAUGUUGGUUGCUCAUGUCACUGGUUGGUGACAUGAGCAACUUCUUUGCUGAAUCAGGUACGAGUUUUCUUCCCCCCACACUGGGAGACUGUUUCCUCAAUUUGUUUCUGCUCCAUGAUCCUGUCUCUUCUCCUUACCUCUUUUUUACAUACUGGGUUUUCUGCCUGCCCCAACACAGCUGCCAUCUCUUCUUAAGCUCAGAGAUAAGUAACACUUAAGUUUAAUCUAUACCUUUAAUGUCUUCUCCAUUACUUUCUUAAGUCUAGAUCAGGGGUCCAGCAAACUGUGGCUCUCAGGCCAAAUCUGGCCCACAGUUUUUUUUUUUUUUUAGAUAAAGUUUUAUUGCAACACAGGCACACCUAGUCAUUUACAGAUUGUCUACCGCUGCUUUCAGGCAGAGUUGAGCAGUUACAACUGAGACUGCCUGGUCCACAAAGCUGAAAACACUUACUUUACAGGAAAACUUUGCUGAUCUCUGCUCUACACAAUCAACAAAGCAAUAAAUCAAGCCUUGAUUUGUAGUCUUUGCCAACUUCCAUGUGUAAAUACUUCCACCAUGGCCAAUUUCCAGCCACCAACACAUGUGGCUGGGAACAGAUGCACAUAGCACACCAUUAUAUAUAUAUUAUAUUAUAUAUAUAUAUA
RNAcentral lists this long non-coding RNA (864 nucleotides) under Homo sapiens (human). Its description in RNAcentral is "HSALNT0290170". The record is from RNAcentral. Lineage: Eukaryota; Metazoa; Chordata; Mammalia; Primates; Hominidae.